RNAcentral lists this ribosomal RNA (493 nucleotides) under uncultured bacterium. RNAcentral describes it as "partial 16S ribosomal RNA". It matches the Rfam family "Bacterial small subunit ribosomal RNA", at positions 30 to 523 of the family's 1533-position model. The record is from RNAcentral.
AUUGAACGCUGGCGGCAUGCUUUACACAUGCAAGUCGAACGGUAACAGGUUAAGCUGACGAGUGGCGAACGGGUGAGUAAUGCAUCGGAACGUGCCCAGUCGUGGGGGAUAACGCAGCGAAAGCUGCGCUAAUACCGCAUACGAUCUGAGGAUGAAAGCGGGGGACCGUAAGGCCUCGCGCGAUCGGAGCGGCCGAUGUCAGAUUAGGUAGUUGGUGAGGUAAAGGCUCACCAAGCCAACGAUCUGUAGCUGGUCUGAGAGGACGACCAGCCACACUGGGACUGAGACACGGCCCAGACUCCUACGGGAGGCAGCAGUGGGGAAUUUUGGACAAUGGGCGAAAGCCUGAUCCAGCAAUGCCGCGUGCAGGAAGAAGGCCUUCGGGUUGUAAACUGCUUUUGUACGGAGCGAAAAGGCUCUCUCUAAUACAGGGGGCUCAUGACGGUACCGUAAGAAUAAGCACCGGUUAACUACGUGCCAGCAGCCGCGGUAA